Molecule: ribosomal RNA, 111 nt
Filed under: Cololejeunea spinosa
Lineage: Eukaryota; Viridiplantae; Streptophyta; Jungermanniopsida; Porellales; Lejeuneaceae
Description: 5.8S ribosomal RNA
Rfam family: 5.8S ribosomal RNA
About the family: 5.8S ribosomal RNA (5.8S rRNA) is a component of the large subunit of the eukaryotic ribosome. It is transcribed by RNA polymerase I as part of the 45S precursor that also contains 18S and 28S rRNA.
Source: RNAcentral
GCAGCGAAAUGCGAUACCUAGUGUGAAUUGCAGAAUUCCGUGAAUCAUCGAGUUUUUGAACGCAAGUUGCGCCCGAGGCUCGUCUGAGGGCAUGCCUGCCUGAGCGUCCGC